CCUACGGGAGGCAGCAGUGGGGGAUAUUGCACAAUGGGGGGAACCCUGAUGCAGCGACGCCGCGUGGGUGAUGAAGGGCCUCGGAGUGUAAAGCCCUGUUAGUAGGGAAGAAAAUGACGGUACCUGAAGAAUAAGCCCCGGCUAACUACGUGCCAGCAGCCGCGGUAAUACGGAGGGGGCAAGCGUUAUGCGGAUUCACUGGGCGUAAAGGGGGCGUAGGCGGGGGAGCAAGUCAGGAGUGAAAGCCCGGGGCGCAACCCCGGGACUGCACUUGAAACUGCGUGGCUGGAGUGCAGGAGAGGCAGGUGGAAUGCCUGGUGUAGCGGUGAAAUGCGUAGAUAUCAGGAGGAACACCGGUUGCGAAGGCGGCCUGCUGGACUGCAACUGACGUUGAGGCGCGAAAGCGUGGGGAGCAAACAGGAUUAGAUACCCCAGUAGUC
Molecule: ribosomal RNA, 440 nt
Filed under: uncultured bacterium
Lineage: Bacteria
Description: partial 16S ribosomal RNA
Rfam family: Bacterial small subunit ribosomal RNA
Source: RNAcentral